AGUGAACGCUGACGGUAGGCCUAACACAUGCAAGUCGAACGGCAGCACAGUAAGAGCUUGCUCUUACGGGUGGCGAGUGGCGGACGGGUGAGGAAUACAUCGGAAUCUACUUUUUCGUGGGGGAUAACGUAGGGAAACUUACGCUAAUACCGCAUACGACCUACGGGUGAAAGCAGGGGAUCCUCGGACCUUGCGCGAUUGAAUGAGCCGAUGUCGGAUUAGCUAGUUGGCGGGGUAAAGGCCCACCAAGGCGACGAUCCGUAGCUGGUCUGAGAGGAUGAUCAGCCACACUGGAACUGAGACACGGUCCAGACUCCUACGGGAGGCAGCAGUGGGGAAUAUUGGACAAUGGGCGCAAGCCUGAUCCAGCCAUACCGCGUGGGUGAAGAAGGCCUUCGGGUUGUAAAGCCCUUUUGUUGGGAAAGAAAAGCAGCAGGUUAAUACCCCGCUGUUCUGACGGUACCCAAAGAAUAAGCACCGGCUAACUUCGUG
This 492-nucleotide ribosomal RNA is filed under the name uncultured bacterium. Its description in RNAcentral is "partial 16S ribosomal RNA". It matches the Rfam family "Bacterial small subunit ribosomal RNA", at positions 29 to 507 of the family's 1533-position model. The record is from RNAcentral.